This 219-nucleotide unclassified non-coding RNA is filed under the name plant metagenome. RNAcentral describes it as "partial contains small subunit ribosomal RNA and internal transcribed spacer 1". The record is from RNAcentral.
AGUCGUAGCAAGUUCGUAGGUGACUGCGAGAUCAUUAAGAGAUGAGGUCUUCAUGGCCGACCGUCCAACCCUCUGUUGUUAUAACUACCUUGUUGCUUUGGCGGGACCGUCUCGGUCUCCGAGCGCACUAACCCUCGGGUUGGUGAGCGCCCGCCAGAGUCCAACCAAACUCUUGUAUUAAACCAGUCGUCUGAGUAUAAAAUUUUAAUUAAAUUAAAA